ACGCUAGCUACAGGCUUAACACAUGCAAGUCGAGGGGCAGCGUGAUCUAAAGCUUGCUUUGGGUAUGCGGACACCGGCGCACGGGAGAAUAACGCGUAUCAAAUCUGCCUCAUACUCGGAAAUACCCUUGAAAAGAUAAUAUUAAUGCCAGGUGUUUUCGAAUUCCCGCGUGAGGCUUUGAACAAGGAUUUAUCGGUAUGAUAUGGAUAUGCUUCCCUUUAUCUUGUUGGCGGGGUAACGGCCCCCCAACGUCUCUAUGGAUAGGGGCUCAGAGAAGAAGGUCCCCCAUUUUGAAACAGACACACGGUCCACACUCCUACGGGAGGCAGCAGAGAAGAAUAUUGCUCUGUGGGCAGAACCCUGACCCACCCAAAUAGCGUGCAAGAACACGGCCCUCCGGUGUGUACAGUGUUUUUAUUUGAAAAUAAAAGGGGUCUCGAGACCCCCCUUGUGUGUCCCAUCAAAAAAGAGACCGGCUAUUUCCGUGCCAACCCCCGCGGUAAUACAGAGGGUCCGGGCGAUAUCCAGAUUUAGUGUGUUUAAGGAGAGCGCAGGCGGACCUUUAAGUUCAGCUGUGAAAUACCGCCUCUCAACCGUCGAAACUGCAGUGAUACUGGAGGUCUUGAGUGCACACAGGGAUGCUGGAAUUCAUGGUGUAGCGGUGAAAUGCUCAGAUAUCAUGAAGAACUCCGAUCGCGAAGGCAGGCAUCCGGGGUGCAACUGACGCUGAGGCUCGAAAGUGCGGGUAUCAAACAGGAUUAGAUACCCUGGUAGUCCGCACAGUAAACGAUGAAUACUCGCGGUUUGCGAUACAGUGUAAGCCGCCAAGCGAAAGCGUUAAGUAUUCCACCUGGGGAGUACGCCGGCAACGGUGAAACUCAAAGGAAUUGACGGGGGCCCGCACAAGCGGAGGAACAUGUGGUUUAAUUCGAUGAUACGCGAGGAACCUUACCCGGGCUUGAACUGCCAGCGACGGAUGCAGAGACGCAUCUUUCUUCGGACGCUGGCGGAGGUGCUGCAUGGUUGUCGUCAGCUCGUGCCGUGAGGUGUCGGCUUAAGUGCCAUAACGAGCGCAACCCUCAUCCUCGUUUGCCAUCAGGUUAUGCUGGGCACUCCGGGGACACUGCCAUCGUAAGAUGUGAGGAAGGUGGGGAUGACGUCAAAUCAGCACGGCCCUUACGUCCGGGGCUACACACGUGUUACAAUGGGCGGUACAGAGGGCAGCCACUGCGCGAGCAGGAGCCAAUCCUCAAAGCCGUUCUCAGUUCGGACUGGAGUCUGCAACCCGACUCCACGAAGCUGGAUUCGCUAGUAAUCGCGCAUCAGCCAUGGCGCGGUGAAUACGUUCCCGGGCCUUGUACACACCGCCCGUCAAGCCAUGAAAGCCGGGAGCACUUGAAGGCCGUGACCGCAAGGGUCGGUCUAGAGUGAUACUGGUAAUUGGGGCUAAG
RNAcentral lists this ribosomal RNA (1451 nucleotides) under uncultured organism. RNAcentral describes it as "16S ribosomal RNA". It matches the Rfam family "Bacterial small subunit ribosomal RNA". The record is from RNAcentral.